RNAcentral lists this long non-coding RNA (2724 nucleotides) under Homo sapiens (human). RNAcentral's name for it is "HSALNT0340325". The record is from RNAcentral. Lineage: Eukaryota; Metazoa; Chordata; Mammalia; Primates; Hominidae.
GGCUCAUGCCUGUAAUCCCAGCACUUUAGGAGGCCAAGGUGGGCAGAUCAUUUAGGCCAGGAGUUCGAGACCAGCCUGGCCAACAUGGUAAAACCCUGUCUCUACUAAAAAAAAAAAAAAAAAAAAAAAAAAAAAAAAAAAAAAAAAGAAAGAUAUUUUCCUGAAAAACUAAAUCAAAACUGGUUAAUAAAACUUUAAUAAACCAAAAAAAAAAAAAAAAAAAGAAAUCUUUUAGCUCCAUUAUAAUCUCAUAGGACCACCAUUGUAUAUAUGGCCCAUUAUUGACAGAGAUGUCAUUAUGUGGUACGUGACUGUAGAAUUUUUAUUUGUCAAUUAAUAAAUAAAUAAGCUCACAAGAUGUGUUAGGUGAGCAGGGCGCUCUUUGGGGCAUCACGCAUGACUCAAAGCACUUCAGUGCUGGAAUGUCAAGUCCUUCUUCCCUGAAAAUCGAAAGUUUUAAAUGAUUAGACAUUCUAUAUUCCUUGGUAUGUAGGGAUGAAAUGAACCCCAUCUGUCAAUACACAAUUUCUGAUUGAUCACUGCUUUGGCCUUGUCUCCUUCCCAGGAGGCCUCAGCAAGAGCCAUCUCUGUGGGUGUGCCAGCCACGGUCACUCUGGUGAAGCCCGCCUUCUCCUGCUACCACCUGUCUUGGGGGGCCCGAUUGACUGCUGUGCUGUGGCCUGAGCAGUGCAGCUGGUGGGAGGAGGUGCUCUUCUAGAUAUGCAGACAGCCCUCUACAGGGAGGGGUGGACCACCGAGGAGAACCAGAAAGAGCCUCUUCUUCUCCUUCUCUAAGGCAGAGCACCCUAAACAUUGCCCACAGGCCCUCAAUUUCACACUUACCCAGCCAGUCCAAGCAGGAGGCACACAUUUUGCAUGCACACAUUCUUCCACUGGAAUCUGGGAGCUCUUUUGCUUUCCGGGAAAUCCAAAGGAAGUUCUCAGAAAUUGUGGUGUCUUGCCACCGCAGAAUACCCAGCACAGAGUGACUCAGACCCAUCUAUUUAUCAAGGUGGCCCUCACAAGCAGUUUCUCCUUUGGGUAUCAGGAAACUGAGUUGACACAGUUUUCCAGGGUAGGGACUGUCUUGGUGAUAAGAAUUUUUUGGGAAGAGAGAUUUUAAAUUUUCAUUAUGGAAAGCUCAUUACCUGCCCCCCCUUUAGAAUUUUAACUUGCCUGAUUAUUGGCAUGGCCUGAGAAGUGGGGAGGAUGAGGACUUGCUGAGAGAGGGCAGGUGUGGGUGGCAGGAGCAUGGCAUUUUUUGGGAAUGAGGCCUCAUGUCCUGGGUUAGCAGUCAUGACAUCUGAAACUCCCAGGACUUUUUUCUUGGGCUCCCUGGGCAGCCUGGGCCAGCUCUGCAGAGCCUUGAGGUCAACAGUGGGUGGGGAGCACAGACUGCCUGACUUCAGGAACCCUUUUCCCUCUUCUGACUGAGUGACAGCAUCCUCUCUGAGUCUCAGCUGCUUCGACCCUAAAAUGGGGGUAAGACCUCUUGCUUUACCCCUUGCUGAGACACUGGGCAGACUACCUUCAAAAGCUAUGGUGGUUCCCAACAGUGAGGGAGGUGGGGAGUGCUUCCCUGGGGGUCGUGCACCGUGAGUACCAGAACAGAAGGCCUGUGGGUGCAGGUUGGGAAAAGCACCUAUGGACUGUCGUGAGCUCCCCCUCCAACCUGUUGAAUGGGAUUGUCCCGAAGACCAACCCUAAUGCACGCUCCGUGGGACACCUGGCCCUAUGUAGGCAUUUAUAAAGAAUAGCUAUUUUUUUAACUUUUAUUUUAGGUUCAGGGGUACAUGUGCAGGUUUGUUAUAUAGGUAAACUCAUGUCAUGGGGGUUUGUUGUACAGAUUAUUUCGUCACCCAGGUACUAAGCCUGGUAGUACCCAAUAGUUUUUUUUUUUUCUGAUCUUCUCCCUCCUCCCACUCUCCAUCCUCAAGUAAACCCCUAGUGUGUGUUGUUCCCCUCUUUGUGUCUGUGUUCUCAUCAUUUAUCUUCCACUUAUAAGUGAGAACAUGUGGUAUUUGGUUUUCUGUUCCUGUGUUAGUUUACUAAGGAUGAUGGCCGCCAGUUCCGUCUGUGUUUCUGCCAAGGACAUGAUCUUAUUUUCUUAUGGCUGCAUAGUAUUCCGUGGUGUAUAUGUACCACAUUUUUCUUUAUUCAAUCUGCCAUUGAUGGACAUUUAAGUUGAUUACAUGACUUUAAGGAUAGCUGUUAUUUAUUACCCUAUAAAUCUUGAAUUCUUCCUGUUCUUUUCUAAGAUUUAUGGGUAUUUUCUCCUGCAUCACAUUGCUUUAAGCAUGCAUAAUUUUGCUUAAGCUAAGAGGCCAAUUCUAAAAAGAAGAACUUACUUUCAGGGAAUCAUUAGCUUCACAUUCCAGUUUUCUCUCAAGGACAUUGUGGGAUGUUAGAUUUGUCCUUCAGAACAUUCCUUUUGGGAGGUUAACAUGGAGGGUUUGUUUGGUUUCUGCUUUUUUAUUCUGGUCAUCACUGAGAUUACAUUUCUCAGACUGGAUUCUUGCUAGAGGUUGUGGUUGCCGGCUCCACGUUAAAAAACCCGUCACCAAGUAUCUCAUCUCCUGUCCCUGCUCAUUGCUCCACGAGCCCAGCAGUAGCUCUCAAACAUGAGCAUGCACCAGAACCACUUGCUUGGAUAAUCUCAAAGUUUCUUUCUGCAAGAUGCUUAUUCAUCACAAAGGGGCAAACAGCAACUUUCCAUUGGAGAUA